This 460-nucleotide ribosomal RNA is filed under the name uncultured bacterium. Its description in RNAcentral is "partial 16S ribosomal RNA". It matches the Rfam family "Bacterial small subunit ribosomal RNA", at positions 338 to 795 of the family's 1533-position model. The record is from RNAcentral.
CCUACGGGGGGCAGCAGUGAGGAAUAUUGGUCAAUGGGCGCAAGCCUGAACCAGCCAAGUCGCGUGAGGGAUGACGGUCCUAUGGAUUGUAAACCUCUUUUGUCGGGGCGCAAGGCCCGCCACGUGUGGCGGGAAGGAGAGUACCCGAAGAAAAAGCAUCGGCUAACUCCGUGCCAGCAGCCGCGGUAAUACGGAGGAUGCGAGCGUUAUCCGGAUUUAUUGGGUUUAAAGGGUGCGUAGGCGGAAGGUUAAGUCAGCGGUCAAAUGUCGGUGCUCAACACCGGCCUGCCGUUGAAACUGGUCGUCUUGAGUGAGCGAGAAGUAUGUGCAAUGCGUGGUGUGGCGGUGAAAUGCAUAGAUAUCACGCAGAACUCCGAUUGCGAAGGCAGCAUACCGGCGCUCAACUGACGCUGAGGCACGAAAGCGUGGGGAUCGAACAGGAUUAGAUACCCUUGUAGUC